This 756-nucleotide ribosomal RNA is filed under the name Triticum aestivum (bread wheat). RNAcentral's name for it is "partial small subunit ribosomal RNA". The record is from RNAcentral. Lineage: Eukaryota; Viridiplantae; Streptophyta; Magnoliopsida; Poales; Poaceae.
AUGGCGACCCCGAGCUCGCACCUUCCGCCCUGGCUGCGCCACCGUGCUCAAGUUGGCGACUAUGGCAUCGAGGGCAUCACCUCUGAGGCUAACCAUUGGCCAUGCCCGGAGCCGAGCAGCUGCGAGCUCCAGCCCAAGUUCCAAGCUAGAAUCGCGGCGAUGGCACGGUCGGAGCUGGUCAUGGCGUUGCUGGUGGUGGUCCUCGCCGGCGGCUGCUGCGCGUCGGCGGGCGCCGUGGCGUACCUCUCCAAGCUGCCUGUGAUCCUCGACGUCACCGCAUCCCCCAGUCCCGGCCAAGUUCUUCACGCCGGCGAGGACGUGAUCACGGUGACUUGGGCCCUGAACGCGAGCCAGCCGGCCGGCAAGGACGCCGACUACAAGAACGUGAAGGUGAGCCUCUGCUACGCGCCGGUGAGCCAGAAGGAGCGCGAGUGGCGCAAGACCCACGACGACCUCAAGAAGGACAAGACCUGCCAGUUCAAGGUCACCCAGCAGGCCUACCCCGGCACCGGCAAGGUCGAGUACCGCGUCGCCCUCGACAUCCCCACCGCCACCUACUAUGUGCGUGCCUACGCGCUCGACGCCUCCGGCACGCAGGUCGCCUACGGCCAGACCGCGCCCGCCGCCGCCUUCAACAUCGUCAGCAUCACCGGCGUCACCACCUCCAUCAAGGUCGCCGCCGGCGUCUUCUCCGCCUUCUCCGUCGCGUCGCUCGCCUUCUUCUUCUUCAUUGAGAAACGCAAGAAGAACAACUAA